GCGCAGCAGGCGAGAAUACUUUACAAUGUGCGAAAGCACGAUAAGGGAACUCUGAGUGCCUCCUAAGGAGGCUGUUCAGGUGUUUAAAAGCACCUGGAGUAAGGGCUGGGUAAGACCGGUGCCAGCCGCCGCGGUAACACCGGCAGCCCAGGUGGUAGCCACUUUUAUUGGGUCUAAAGCGUCCGUAGCCGGUUGAGUAAGUUCCUUGGGAAAUUUGGCUGCUCAACAGUCAAGCUUCCAGGGAAUACUGCUCGACUUGGGACCGGGAGAGGUCAGAGGUACUCCAGGGGUAGGGGUGAAAUCCAUUAAUCCCUGGGGGACCACCGGUAGCGAAGGCGUCUGACCAGACCAGGUCCGACGGUGAGGGACGAAGGCUAGGGUCGCGAACCGGAUUAGAUA
This 399-nucleotide ribosomal RNA is filed under the name uncultured microorganism. RNAcentral's name for it is "bacterial SSU rRNA". It matches the Rfam family "Archaeal small subunit ribosomal RNA", at positions 330 to 735 of the family's 1478-position model. The record is from RNAcentral.